CUGACCAACAAAAGAACUCUGAAGGAUGUUUCCAAACUGAGCCCUCACCACCAGACAUCAUCAUUGGAGGCUUUCCACAGCGUCAUUCUUCGCUUUGCCCCAAAGAAUGUUGUUUUUCCAUUUAUUGGAAUGCUUUGCAGACUCUACCUGGCUGCGAUGUACUACAAUGAAAACGCAGACCGACCACAGGCCACAACCAAGGAAGGCGAUCCUCUCUUCAAGGUUCACUUUCCAAAGGCUUUGAAAGGAGAAUGCAGAGUAAAACCACAUAAGACAGAGCCAACAUUCAGGUAUGUUGCUGACAUGAUGGACCUCAUAUUUGAAAAAGUCCUUGUG
Melanotaenia boesemani (Boeseman's rainbowfish) is the source of this 336-nucleotide long non-coding RNA. RefSeq lists it as uncharacterized. The record is from RefSeq and is a predicted model, not a curated record. Lineage: Eukaryota; Metazoa; Chordata; Actinopteri; Atheriniformes; Melanotaeniidae. The transcript is spliced from 3 exons.